GACGAACGCUGGCGGCGUGCCUAAUACAUGCAAGUCGAGCGGAAGGGCCCUGCUUUUGUGGGGUGCUCGAGUGGCGAACGGGUGAGUAACACGUGAGUAACCUGCCCUUGACUUUGGGGUAACUUCAGGAAACUGGGGCUAAUACCGGAUAGGAGCUCCUGAUGCAUGGGGGGGGUUGGAAAGGUUCGGCGGUUGGGGAUGGACUCGCGGCUUAUCAGCUUGUUGGGGGGGUAGUGGCUUACCAGGGCUUUGACGGGUAGCCGGCCUGGGAGGGUGACCGGCCACCUGGCGACUGCGGUACGGACCAGACUCCUACGUGACGCAGCAGUGGGGAGUCUUGCGCAAUGGGCCGACGCCUGAUGCAGCAACCCCGCGUGCGUGAUGACGUCCUUCGGGUUGUAAACCGCUUUCUCCUGUGACGAAGCCUGCGUGACGGUAAUGGGUAAGAAAGCACCGGCUAACUACGUG
Molecule: ribosomal RNA, 468 nt
Filed under: uncultured bacterium
Lineage: Bacteria
Description: partial 16S ribosomal RNA
Rfam family: Bacterial small subunit ribosomal RNA
Source: RNAcentral